Molecule: ribosomal RNA, 833 nt
Filed under: uncultured organism
Description: bacterial SSU rRNA
Rfam family: Bacterial small subunit ribosomal RNA
Source: RNAcentral
GGCGGCAUGGAUUAGGCAUGCAAGUCGAACGGUAACAGAGGUGCUUGCACCUGCUGACGAGUGGCGAAAGGGUGAGUAACCCGUGAGCAACCUGCCUCGAAGUCCGGGAUAGCCUUGGGAAACCGAGAUUAAUACCGGAUGUGGCUGUUUUUCCGCAUGGUUUUACAGCUGAAGUUUUUUCGCUUCGAGAUGGGCUCGCGUUCCAUCAGCUAGUUGGUGAGGUAACGGCUCACCCAGGCAGCGACGGAUAGGUGGUCUGAGAGGAUGGUCACCCACACUGGGACUGAGACACUGCCCAGACUCCUACGGGAGGCUGCAGUCGAGAAUCUUCCGCAAUGCGCGAAAGCGUGACGGAGCGAUGCCGCGUGCCGGAUGAAGGCCUUCGGGUCGUAAACGGCUGUCACCCGGAACGAAUAUUGACGGUACCGGGAGAGGAAGCCACGGCUAACUACGUGCCAGCAGCCGCGGUAAUACGUAGGUGGCUGGCGUUAUUCGGAUUUAUUGGGCGUAAAGGGUUCGUAGGGGGCCGAGUAAGUCUGAUGUGAAAUCCAACGGCUCAACCGUUGAACUGCAUUGGAUACUGGCCGGCUAGAGUACUGGAGAGGUAAGCAGAAUUCCUGGUGUAGCGGUGGAAUGCGUAGAUAUCAGGAGGAAUACCGACGGCGAAGGCAGCUUACUGGACAGUUACUGACCCUCAUGAACGAAAGCUAGGGGAGCAAACAGGAUUAGAUACCCUGGUAGUCCUAGCUGUAAACGUUGUUCACUAGAUGUAGGCGGAUUGGUCCGUCUGUGUCCAAGCUAACGUGAUAAGUGAACCGCCUGGGGAGUACGGC